RNAcentral lists this ribosomal RNA (550 nucleotides) under uncultured Actinomycetes bacterium. RNAcentral's name for it is "bacterial SSU rRNA". It matches the Rfam family "Bacterial small subunit ribosomal RNA", at positions 26 to 583 of the family's 1533-position model. Lineage: Bacteria; Bacillati; Actinomycetota; Actinomycetes. The record is from RNAcentral.
AGACGAACGCUGGCGGCGUGCUUAACACAUGCAAGUCGAACGAUGAACACCGGAGCUUGCUCUGGUAGGGAUUAGUGGCGAACGAGGUGAGUAACACGUGAGCAAUCUGCCCUUGACUCUGGGAUAAGCGUUGGAAACGACGUCUAAUACCGGAUACGACCUCUCUUGGCAUCAAGCGGAGGUGGAAAGAUUUAUCGGUCAAGGAUGAGCUCGCGGCCUAUCAGCUAGUUGGUGAGGUAAUGGCUCACCAAGGCGAUGACGGGUAGCCGGCCUGAGAGGGUGACCGGCCACACUGGGACUGAGACACGGCCCAGACUCCUACGGGAGGCAGCAGUGGGGAAUAUUGCACAAUGGGCGCAAGCCUGAUGCAGCAACGCCGCGUGAGGGACGAAGGCCUUCGGGUUGUAAACCUCUUUUAGCAGGGAAGAAGCGCAAGUGACGGUACCUGCAGAAAAAGCACCGGCUAACUACGUGCCAGCAGCCGCGGUAAUACGUAGGGUGCAGGCGUUGUCCGGAAUUAUUGGGCGUAAAGAGCUCGUAGGCGGUUUGU